GCCGCAAUAGCUCAGUCGGUAGAGCGACGCAUUCGUAAUGCGUAGGUCGGGGGUUCGAAUCCCUCUUGCGGCA
Molecule: transfer RNA, 73 nt
Filed under: Methyloceanibacter superfactus
Lineage: Bacteria; Pseudomonadati; Pseudomonadota; Alphaproteobacteria; Hyphomicrobiales; Hyphomicrobiaceae
Rfam family: tRNA
About the family: Transfer RNA (tRNA) molecules are approximately 80 nucleotides in length.
Source: Rfam by way of RNAcentral